GUUUCGUUUGUUAGGCGACGCAGAGGCCGCAAUCAUUCGUUUGAACUGGAGUUUGUUGAAACGGCUUCGAACCGUCGAGCUCUCGCCCGGCGGCCCUCUGCCGUGAAUGUGCACGGUGGGUUUGUGAAGGUUGGACGGGACCGGACUCCCGCUGCACGGCCUUUCGGUCGGAGCAGGGAGAACCGGGUCCCACCAGAGAUACGUUAAUGAUCCUUCCGCAGGUUCACCUACGGAAA
RNAcentral lists this unclassified non-coding RNA (236 nucleotides) under uncultured fungus. RNAcentral's name for it is "sequence contains ITS1". Lineage: Eukaryota; Fungi. The record is from RNAcentral.